GCCURAKCGGUSUGUURCYAGSGCGYAMAGCGCACGCAGGCGGUUGRUUAAGUYAGAUGUGAAAUCCCCGGGCUYAACCUGGGAAYGGCAUYURARACUGGYCAGCUAGAGUCUUGUAGAGGGGGGUAGAAUUCCAUGUGUAGCGGUGAAAUGCGUAGAGAUSUGGAGGAAUACCGGUGGCGAAGGCGGCCCCCUGGACAAAGACUGACGCUCAGGUGCGAAAGCGUGGGGAGCAAACAGGAUUAGAUACCCUGGUAGUCCACGCUGUAAACGAUGUCGAUUUGGAGGUUGUKCCCUUGAGGAGUGGCUUCCGGAGCUAACGCGUUAAAUCGACCGCCUGGGGAGUACGGCCGCAAGGUUAAAACUCAAAUGAAUUGACGGGGGCCCGCACAAGCGGUGGAGCAUGUGGUUUAAUUCGAUGCAACGCGAAGAACCUUACCUACUCUUGACAUCCAGAGAAYUUAGCAGAGAUGCUUUGGUGCCUUCGGGAACUCUGAGACAGGYGCUGCAUGGCUGUC
This 518-nucleotide ribosomal RNA is filed under the name Providencia alcalifaciens. Its description in RNAcentral is "partial 16S ribosomal RNA". The record is from RNAcentral. Lineage: Bacteria; Pseudomonadati; Pseudomonadota; Gammaproteobacteria; Enterobacterales; Morganellaceae.